AUAAAUAAAUGUGAAGUCGUCAGCAGAAAUGCUUUCAAAUGAGGUCGACGUUUUAUGACGCUAAACGUGUUUUUGUGUGACGUUAAAUAACUGCACUUGAUUAGUUGAAAUUCAUUCAAGUGAACUGAAACAUAUAUAACUUGUGAUCUUGGUAACUAGUUCACACAUAAAAAGGCACUGACCCCUCGCGAAGUUAUUGCUUAUAAUGUAAACAACGUUUUUAAAGUUUGUUGAGUGUAACCAUUGCUUUGUUGUUGAAAUUGAAAUACCCAUUGGGGUUAAACGAGCGUAGAGUAACUCUACGAUGUUGAAAUUUACUGUCAAAGUUGGAUAGAUCUACGCUAAUUUACAAUGGAACAAUAUAUAAACUGCUAUUGAUUGACGUGGAGGAUUUGAAAUAUUAAGAAGUUGAUAUUCCGCAUCAGGUGAACAGAUACUUCAUGAAUUAUAUGAAUCACCAGGGAAAGGACCCGACUACUUGCACAGAUGCAUCCUGCCGGGUGAAAGAAGGGAUGAUCACUUUGGCAACAGAUUGUUCAACUGCUUAAAUAUUGAUGUGGACUCAGUCAAAGGAUUUGCUGUAACUCUGUACGUCUCUUCACUAUGUGGACCUAAAGCGCUACAGCUGGUUGGAGAUUAAGAUCACCAUGUACUGUUUUAAUAGAGAACAUCUGUGAAUAUUUAUUCUAACAAUUGAAAUUCAAACCUGAAUUAUUAUAAUUAGAAAACAUUUUCAUGUACAUGCUGGAAUUUUAUUUGAAGUGUAGAACUAAAAUAAUUUAGAAUUAUUAUUUUUAAACACAAACACAGUUUUAUUAUAGAAAUAAUUGUAUAAACUUAAGAGAAAUCAGUGUUUAAGUGAUGCAUUUAAUUUAGUGUUUGACCUAUUUAAUACCUUAACUAUGUUUUUUUAUGUUGAUUGUAAUGGUAAUCAAAAAAACAAUAAGCUGACAUCCAAAGGGUUUUAACUUUAAAGGGAAUUGUUCACAGAUUCAGGCAUUUUAUAAAGUAUGUCUGUAGAAGCCUUUAAUUGCUAGAUUUUAACCUCAAAAUAGAAAUGUAGAACAGAUAAAAACACCAGAAAAAAUAUUAGUAUCCAUGGGGGUCCUUAAAUUAUUUUACCUAUAACACUCGGCCAAUUUUAUAUUUAAGCCUUCAUUUUAUACUUGAUAUAUGUGAUCCAUGUGAAAUAACAAAAUUUAACAGAAAAAACAGAAUCAUUAAAAAUUAUCCAAUCAUUACCUUGUUCAAUUGUAUCCAUUACACAUGAUGAUUACUCAUAAAAAAGCUGUAUUUUCAGUUUGAGUCUAUAUCAUUAGUGGCAUUUUGCUCCCUGAUUUACAGUAUUAUUGUUUAUUUUGUAUCCGUUCCUUAAUUUUGGAAAAUGGUCAGUUUUACUAUCUGUGCACAAUUCCGUUUGAUCUUUAUUCUUAGUUUUGUGAUCAAUGGAAUGCCUAAUACCAUUUCAAUAGUAAAUGAGAUUACGGGUAAGUACUUGUUAAACAAAAGGCCGUAAAACGUGCAAAGCCCUUCUUUAUUGUAUCUCAAAAUGUGAAAAGCAAUUCUAAGAUUUUUAUGUUUUCUUCCAUUUAAUUACUUUUUUGAGUUAUAAUGCCCUACUUAUUAUAAGUAAAUGUAAUUUGUGUAAGAUUAAAAUGCAUUUACUUGUUCUUAUAAAAAUAAUAACAUAUGAAAAUAUACAAUUUUGUGUUGUGUAGUACAUUUGCUUCCAUGGCAACCAAUUUAUUUAAAUGAUACCAUUGUUAUUUUUUUUACA
Dreissena polymorpha is the source of this 1777-nucleotide long non-coding RNA. RefSeq lists it as uncharacterized. The transcript is spliced from 3 exons. The record is from RefSeq and is a predicted model, not a curated record. Lineage: Eukaryota; Metazoa; Mollusca; Bivalvia; Myida; Dreissenidae.